CAAGAUACAAAGUGCUGCCUUAGCUCUGGCAAGAAGAAAGAAGGGGAAUACGUGGUCAGCCUAUUUGAAAAAGCUUUUCUGGAAGUGCUGUCCGUUGAAAGCUCUAAUUUUCCCAGCUGGAUGAAUUCACCAAGUUGAGAAUCUAAGAGGCCUUAACGUUAGCAGAAUCUACAAAGCGCCAGAGGGGCACGAAAGCUGCGCUGGAAACAUUCGCUCUCCAGGCCUGGUGGUGUGGUUGCCACAGCUACCAAAGCUGCUGCUUUCUCUGCUUUGUGUUCACGUGGGAAGAGAAGCUUUCAAGAUGAGGCUAAGGAGAGGACUUUUACAUCCACAAUCACAAAGCCAGUAAAAGAGACAUAGUGGUCUUUCUAACAAAGACACAGGUCUUUCUAAUCCCAAAACCCAUAUUCUUUUCACCAACUUGGGGAGACACACCCUGCCAAGAUGACUUCAAAUUUGGAGAGAUGAACAACGGCUUCCGUGAAUCACCUUUUCUGGUUUCAGUUGUUGGCACCAUUACCAGCUCUUCUCAGUGACUCUAGCAUCCAUACCAUGCUCUCUACUGGUCACACACAUCCCUGGAGUUUUUUUUUAGAAUCUGCAGCUCACGCCUUCAGGAUUGCUUUGAAGAGAAAAGUAUGAAUGGAGAA
Molecule: non-coding RNA, 650 nt
Organism: Leptonychotes weddellii (Weddell seal)
Lineage: Eukaryota; Metazoa; Chordata; Mammalia; Carnivora; Phocidae
Source: RefSeq, a predicted model, not a curated record